CCGGAAUAAAACACGAUCAAUAGGCAUCAUAUCAGAAAUCUCAAGAGUCACAAUAUCUCCCUUCAAUUUUAAGUAUCGCGCAACGUAGCAACCAAAAAAAUCAAACUGAUAAAUCUAGUCACACAAAUUAAUUUUUACAGUAGCAUAUCUUACCCCUUCUUGUCUUCAACCAUUCCAACUUCUUAUUAGCAUAUAUCUCCUGAAAUCUUUGCUACAACAAGUGGUGGGGAGGACAAAAAAAUUUAGAAAUUCUACGAACUUAAUGCUAAUGCGGAACCUGGAAAGAUCUAGCAAGUAGGCACUGCUUGCUACCAAAGAAAUCUUGUAACUACUUAGCCCCCCGGGACAAUUCCUCUUCAACUAAAAGACCAACUAUGCAUGUCAAUGUAGUUGGUCCCAUCGAUCAUUGUUAACUUCAAGACAUCAAGUAUAUGCUCAUUGCUUCAACAUCAAAAUGGUUAAAUGUAGCAUCAACGCAAAUUGCCUCUACUCACUGGAAGAAAUACAACGUUCUCCGUGUCUACUCUACAAACUCCUGUAAUCUAUUACGGUAACUUCAUCUUCAGGCGCAUCGAGAUCUUGAUAGCUUCGCAAGCGACGAGGAUCCUGUCGAAAUCCGGGAGGUAAAGCAAUUAUCGGGCCUGCAGGCCCAGACCUCCCAUUUCUACCGCCUUCAAAUGGAGUAGGGCCUCCUUGUUCUCGCAUCAUUCGCAUUGCAACUUCAGGAGGCGCAGGAACAAAUGGACCAAGA
RNAcentral lists this unclassified non-coding RNA (751 nucleotides) under Hevea brasiliensis (rubber tree). Lineage: Eukaryota; Viridiplantae; Streptophyta; Magnoliopsida; Malpighiales; Euphorbiaceae. The record is from RNAcentral.